UUUGUAGUUUACCGUUAAAAGGCACGGUCUCUGCACACUGUAGAGGGUAGUUUUUGAAAACGUUUCUUGGUGACGUCACAUUUCCCGCCCCCUCGCCAUUACUGGUCUUUUACUGUCUAUGGUUCCUAGUACGUACAAGAAGGACGGUUAGAGCUCCUCCAAGCGGCUCUAAAAAUGCGCUACAAUAGUACAGUUUAUUUGAGACACCGAUGCCAUAAACGUAGAGUUUAGAUGGAUAGGGUCAAAAACUCUUUCAAGUUGGGCAAUUCCAAGUUCAUGUACCACCAAACUAUGUGUGAAGCCUUGGCUCCUUCUCAUUUUGGCUGCGACUCCAGACUAUAAGCAGGAGCCCAAUUAACGCAGCACUGAAAUGAAAAUCAAUGCAGGAGGAAACACUGCCACUGCCAGAGGGAGACACUCCCAAGAGCGCUGCCUCAGACAGUCUGGAAAUCGCUGUUUUAACAAGGAGAAAAGUGCAGAGUCACAUUUCUCUCUUCUUCUCAACCCCCCUCGGUUCAGUAUCUGGAGCAGUUGUGUUGAACGGGAAUAAAGCUCUCUCACCUCAGAGAAAAAUACCCGCAAGAAGAGGACAAAAAUACUCUGCACCAAAUAAUGAAAGUAAUAUAGACAGACAAGGCUGAGUGAUUCUGACUGAGAAAGCUUCUUCAAAUCUAGGUGCCCUUAGUGAUGUUAUGGGUGUUUAUUUGGGAAUUAGGACUGAUUUAUGGUUUAAUCCACAAUGUGCACUUCUCAGGAUUUAUUUAAAUAUCAAUUUAGGGUAACUUGUGGCCCAGUGAUGAUG
Molecule: long non-coding RNA, 802 nt
Organism: Carassius carassius (crucian carp)
Lineage: Eukaryota; Metazoa; Chordata; Actinopteri; Cypriniformes; Cyprinidae
Exons: 4
Source: RefSeq, a predicted model, not a curated record